Molecule: ribosomal RNA, 253 nt
Filed under: uncultured bacterium
Lineage: Bacteria
Description: partial 16S ribosomal RNA
Rfam family: Bacterial small subunit ribosomal RNA
Source: RNAcentral
UACGAAGGGGGCUAGCGUUGCUCGGAAUCACUGGGCGUAAAGGGUGCGUAGGCGGGUCUUUAAGUCAGGGGUGAAAUCCUGGAGCUCAACUCCAGAACUGCCUUUGAUACUGAAGAUCUUGAGUUCGGGAGAGGUGAGUGGAACCGCGAGUGUAGAGGUGAAAUUCGUAGAUAUUCGCAAGAACACCAGUGGCGAAGGCGGCUCACUGGCCCGAUACUGACGCUGAGGCACGAAAGCGUGGGGAGCAAACAGG